RNAcentral lists this ribosomal RNA (246 nucleotides) under uncultured bacterium. RNAcentral describes it as "partial 16S ribosomal RNA". It matches the Rfam family "Bacterial small subunit ribosomal RNA", at positions 524 to 769 of the family's 1533-position model. The record is from RNAcentral.
UACGAAGGGGGCUAGCGUUGCUCGGAAUUACUGGGCGUAAAGCGCACGUAGGCGGUCUUUUAAGUCGGGGGUGAAAUCCUGGAGCUCAACUCCAGAACUGCCUCGAUACUGGAAGACUCGAGUCCGGGAGAGGUGAGUGGAACUGCGAGUGUAGAGGUGAAAUUCGUGAGAUAUUCGCAAGAACACCAGUGGCGAAGGGCGGCUCACUGGCCCGGUACUGACGCUGAGGUGCGAAAGCGUGGGAGC